Molecule: ribosomal RNA, 253 nt
Filed under: uncultured bacterium
Lineage: Bacteria
Description: partial 16S ribosomal RNA
Rfam family: Bacterial small subunit ribosomal RNA
Source: RNAcentral
UACAGAGGGUCCAAGCGUUGAUCGGAAUCACUGGGCUUAAAGCGUGCGUAGGCCGACCCAUAAGUGCCUUGUGAAAUCCCCUGGCUCAACCAGGGAAUUGCUCGGUAGACUGUGGGUCUUGAGCUCAACAGAGGUGGUCGGAACGAUAGGUGGAGCGGUGAAAUGCGUAGAUAUCUAUCGGAACGCCGAAGGUGAAGACAGGCCACUGGGUUGAUGCUGACGCUGAGGCACGAAAGCGUGGGUAGCGAACGGG